RNAcentral lists this ribosomal RNA (497 nucleotides) under uncultured bacterium. RNAcentral's name for it is "partial 16S ribosomal RNA". It matches the Rfam family "Bacterial small subunit ribosomal RNA", at positions 28 to 507 of the family's 1533-position model. The record is from RNAcentral.
GAUCAACGCUGGCGGCGUGCCUAAUACAUGCAAGUCGAGCGAACGGACGAGAAGCUUGCUUCUCUGAUGUUAGCGGCGGACGGGUGAGUAACACGUGGAUAACCUACCUAUAAGACUGGGAUAACUUCGGGAAACCGGAGCUAAUACCGGAUAAUAUUUUGAACCGCAUGGUUCAAAAGUGAAAGACGGUCUUGCUGUCACUUAUAGAUGGAUCCGCGCUGCAUUAGCUAGUUGGUAAGGUAACGGCUUACCAAGGCAACGAUGCAUAGCCGACCUGAGAGGGUGAUCGGCCACACUGGAACUGAGACACGGUCCAGACUCCUACGGGAAGCAGCAGUAGGGAAUCUUCCGCAAUGGGCGAAAGCCUGACGGAGCAACGCCGCGUGAGUGAUGAAGGUCUUCGGAUCGUAAAACUCUGUUAUUAGGGAAGAACAUAUGUGUAAGUAACUGUGCACAUCUUGACGGUACCUAAUCAGAAAGCCACGGCUAACUACGUG